RNAcentral lists this ribosomal RNA (465 nucleotides) under uncultured Aggregatibacter sp. Its description in RNAcentral is "bacterial SSU rRNA". It matches the Rfam family "Bacterial small subunit ribosomal RNA", at positions 338 to 795 of the family's 1533-position model. Lineage: Bacteria; Pseudomonadati; Pseudomonadota; Gammaproteobacteria; Pasteurellales; Pasteurellaceae. The record is from RNAcentral.
CCUACGGGUGGCAGCAGUGGGGAAUAUUGCGCAAUGGGGGCAACCCUGACGCAGCCAUGCCGCGUGAAUGAAGAAGGCCUUCGGGUUGUAAAGUUCUUUCGGUGACGAGGAAGGCGUGAUGUUUAAUAGGCAUCACGAUUGACGUUAAUCACAGAAGAAGCACCGGCUAACUCCGUGCCAGCAGCCGCGGUAAUACGGAGGGUGCGAGCGUUAAUCGGAAUAACUGGGCGUAAAGGGCACGCAGGCGGCUAUUUAAGUGAGGUGUGAAAUCCCCGGGCUUAACCUGGGAAUUGCAUUUCAGACUGGGUAGCUAGAGUACUUUAGGGAGGGGUAGAAUUCCACGUGUAGCGGUGAAAUGCGUAGAGAUGUGGAGGAAUACCGAAGGCGAAGGCAGCCCCUUGGGAAUGUACUGACGCUCAUGUGCGAAAGCGUGGGGAGCAAACAGGAUUAGAUACCCUGGUAGUC